RNAcentral lists this unclassified non-coding RNA (231 nucleotides) under Mycosphaerellaceae sp. Its description in RNAcentral is "partial contains 5.8S ribosomal RNA, internal transcribed spacer 2, and large subunit ribosomal RNA". The record is from RNAcentral. Lineage: Eukaryota; Fungi; Ascomycota; Dothideomycetes; Mycosphaerellales; Mycosphaerellaceae.
CGCACAUUGCGCCCCGUGGUAUUCCGCGGGGUAUGCCUGUUCGAGCGUCAUUUCACCACUCAAGCCUGGCUUGGUAUUGGGCGUCGCGAGUCCGCGCGCCUCAAAGUCUCCGGCUGAGCUGUCCGUCUCCCAGCGUUGUGAAUCAUAUUCGCUACGGAGCGCGGGUGGCCGCGGCCGUUAAACUUCUUACAGGUUGACCUCGGAUCAGGUAGGGAUACCCGCUGAACUUAA